UUCUGUUCGUAGAAUUUGGUUCCAUAAAUUGGUUUAGCAUAGCAGUAUUGCUGAUGAUGUGGUGGCUGUCCAGACAUAUGCGUGCCCACAUUUUCUGAUAAAAUAAUGUCAAAAGCAAAGUGGGACGGUGCAAAUGUUUUUGCUGAGAAAGGUUUCUAUCAAUAUAAUUCUAUAAGGAUAUUAGCUGUGUUGUCUCUGUAUAUGUCUAGCAUCAGGUGUUCAGUGUAAGUUUAUGAUUAACAUGUAAUAGCAUGUCCUGAUGCAAGCCUUCUUGAGCCUUGGUCCAUGUCUACUUUUACCCUUUGAAUGUGUGGCAGAGGACUAACCCAUGACAAAAUCCUUGAGUGGUUCAUUGCUAUUCUGCCGGAAUUUCCGGUGCAUCCAGCCCAGUAACUGCACCACCAGAGAUUGUAGGAGUUAAUAACUGCAUGGAAGAUCACUGUUACCAAGUAUAAUGGAUUGCUCUCCCAAGUCUCUACUUGCCGAAAGUAAGCUGGCUUGAGAGAAACAUAGAGAUAAUUACAAGAUUGCGGUUUUCAAGAUCAAAUCAUGUGAUCACCGGCCAGGGGGGGUCCCCAUUUCUUGAUGUGGGAAGUGAACAGUAUUUCAGAUAGAUGGAUCUGCAUGGUUUUAUCAAAGAGGAUUAUUGACAAAGAAAUACGGAUAUCAUUGAUGUUGAAGCUUAUCGAGAAACCUCCAGAAACAGGGUAGGAUGAUCAUCGGUAAGAAUCUACCUCGUCUCUAUAAGGGACAGGGAGAAGAAGCCUGUGCCAUGCUCUUUUGAGUAGCCAGCAUUUGACUAGAGGGUACAAAUUGAUGACUUUCUUUUCACGAGGAACUUAAAAGGGCAAUAUGAGGUCCAUUACAUGUCGCACAAGUUGUGUUUCUCCUCAUCAUGGAAGGCACACAUGCAAUGCAGCUUACUCCGAUUCUGAUGAGCAAGGCGACGAGAUCAACAGUGAUCUGCGUCGAUUCAUGUCCCGAGGCGUACCCUUUUCACACAGCCCGCGGUGAUGAACUAGACAGCGGUUUUCGCCGAAACACCCAACUCCCACUCACCUCAACUACUGAGGUACUACAGAAUUUGCUCCUUCCUUUCCCAUUUUUUGUUGGUGGUGGGUUUGAUUUGGCUGGCUCUUGGACCUGAAGAUUUAGGACAUCUCUGUUUCCAUUAAAGACCAGUGCCAGACCAGGCACUUUCAUGAGACAUUUGGCUUUCCGAGUUGUGCAAGAAAACACUGACAUUGAAACCAAAGAUAACAUGAGAAAACGACCCUUUUUAGACUUAGGAGGCAUCGGUCUUCUUCAACUCA
This is a long non-coding RNA of Tarenaya hassleriana, 1313 nucleotides long. RefSeq lists it as uncharacterized. Lineage: Eukaryota; Viridiplantae; Streptophyta; Magnoliopsida; Brassicales; Cleomaceae. The record is from RefSeq and is a predicted model, not a curated record. The transcript has 6 exons.